This 1372-nucleotide ribosomal RNA is filed under the name uncultured bacterium. Its description in RNAcentral is "bacterial SSU rRNA". It matches the Rfam family "Bacterial small subunit ribosomal RNA", at positions 28 to 1381 of the family's 1533-position model. The record is from RNAcentral.
GAUGAACGCUGGCGGCGUGCCUAAUACAUGCAAGUCGAGCGAACGGACGAGAAGCUUGCUUCUCUGAUGUUAGCGGCGGACGGGUGAGUAACACGUGGAUAACCUACCUAUAAGACUGGGAUAACUUCGGGAAACCGGAGCUAAUACCGGAUAAUAUUUUGAACCGCAUGGUUCAAAAGUGAAAGACGGUCUUGCUGUCACUUAUAGAUGGAUCCGCGCUGCAUUAGCUAGUUGGUAAGGUAACGGCUUACCAAGGCAACGAUGCAUAGCCGACCUGAGAGGGUGAUCGGCCACACUGGAACUGAGACACGGUCCAGACUCCUACGGGAGGCAGCAGUAGGGAAUCUUCCGCAAUGGGCGAAAGCCUGACGGAGCAACGCCGCGUGAGUGAUGAAGGUCUUCGGAUCGUAAAACUCUGUUAUUAGGGAAGAACAUAUGUGUAAGUAACUGUGCACAUCUUGACGGUACCUAAUCAGAAAGCCACGGCUAACUACGUGCCAGCAGCCGCGGUAAUACGUAGGUGGCAAGCGUUAUCCGGAAUUAUUGGGCGUAAAGCGCGCGUAGGCGGUUUUUUAAGUCUGAUGUGAAAGCCCACGGCUCAACCGUGGAGGGUCAUUGGAAACUGGAAAACUUGAGUGCAGAAGAGGAAAUUGGAAUUCCAUGUGUAGCGGUGAAAUGCGCAGAGAUAUGGAGGAACACCAGUGGCGAAGGCGACUUUCUGGUCUGUAACUGACGCUGAUGUGCGAAAGCGUGGGGAUCAAACAGGAUUAGAUACCCUGGUAGUCCACGCCGUAAACGAUGAGUGCUAAGUGUUAGGGGGUUUCCGCCCCUUAGUGCUGCAGCUAACGCAUUAAGCACUCCGCCUGGGGAGUACGACCGCAAGGUUGAAACUCAAAGGAAUUGACGGGGACCCGCACAAGCGGUGGAGCAUGUGGUUUAAUUCGAAGCAACGCGAAGAACCUUACCAAAUCUUGACAUCCUUUGACAACUCUAGAGAUAGAGCUUUCCCCUUCGGGGGACAAAGUGACAGGUGGUGCAUGGUUGUCGUCAGCUCGUGUCGUGAGAUGUUGGGUUAAGUCCCGCAACGAGCGCAACCCUUAAGCUUAGUUGCCAUCAUUAAGUUGGGCACUCUAAGUUGACUGCCGGUGACAAACCGGAGGAAGGUGGGGAUGACGUCAAAUCAUCAUGCCCCUUAUGAUUUGGGCUACACACGUGCUACAAUGGACAAUACAAAGGGCAGCGAAACCGUGAGGUCAAGCAAAUCCCAUAAAGUUGUUCUCAGUUCGGAUUGUAGUCUGCAACUCGACUACAUGAAGCUGGAAUCGCUAGUAAUCGUAGAUCAGCAUGCUACGGUGAAUACGUUCCCGGGUCU